CCUACGGGUGGCAGCAGUGAGGAAUAUUGGUCAAUGGGCGCGAGCCUGAACCAGCCAAGUAGCGUGAAGGAUGACUGCCCUACGGGUUGUAAACUUCUUUUAUAAAGGAAUGAAGUGAGGCCCGUGUGCCUUUUUUUAUGUACUUUAUGAAUAAGGAUCGGCUAACUCCGUGCCGGCAGCCGAGGUAAUCCGGAGGAUCCGAGCGUUAUCCGGAUUUAGUGGGUUUAAAGGGAGCGUAGAUGGGUUGUUAAGUCAGUUGUGAAAGUUUGCGGCUCAACCGUAAAAUUGCAAUUGAUACUGGCAGUCGUGAGUACAGUUGAGGUAGGCGGAAUUCGUGGUGUAGCGGUGAAAUGCUUAGAUAUCACGAAGAACUCCGAUUGCGAAGGCAGCUUACUAAACUGCCACUGACAUUGAUGCUCGAAAGUGUGGGUAUCAAACAGGAUUAGAUACCCUUGUAGUC
RNAcentral lists this ribosomal RNA (460 nucleotides) under uncultured bacterium. Its description in RNAcentral is "partial 16S ribosomal RNA". It matches the Rfam family "Bacterial small subunit ribosomal RNA", at positions 338 to 795 of the family's 1533-position model. The record is from RNAcentral.